UUGAACCUUCGGGAUCAAGGUAA
This 23-nucleotide ribosomal RNA is filed under the name Polyblastidium japonicum. Its description in RNAcentral is "partial 28S ribosomal RNA". The record is from RNAcentral. Lineage: Eukaryota; Fungi; Ascomycota; Lecanoromycetes; Caliciales; Physciaceae.